Molecule: long non-coding RNA, 579 nt
Filed under: Elaeis guineensis (African oil palm)
Lineage: Eukaryota; Viridiplantae; Streptophyta; Magnoliopsida; Arecales; Arecaceae
Description: long non-coding RNA (EGUI_LNC019716)
Source: RNAcentral
UGCAUCUGCUUCAAGAAGGCAGCCUAUUUAUACAGAUUUCAAGCAGUGCAUGCACGGCCAACUAACAACUAGGGAGCACCAUGCAUCUGGCUCUGAAAUGUCAAUCGCCAUAGACAUUGACUGCAUGCUUUCAUUACCAAGGAGUAGCCAGUGAAGCAUUUUGAAACCCACCUCAAUCCACCACGUGGCAAUUCAGAAUUGGCCUAGGACAAAUCCCCAGCUCAUUCUCCUGGAAAAUCCCGUCUGCCAUUAUGGUGGAGGGAAUUACGAGGUGCUUUGCGAAUGAAUGCUUUGGUUCCUAAUGGGCAAACCCACGAACCAACCUUGACUGAAAUGAUGCCCGCCUCCAUAGCUCCUUGGGCUUGUUUGAGAGAGACUUCGGAUUUGUCCCAAUCCAGAGCAAUUAUUACCUCAGAGGACCUUCGAGAGCCAACACCUCAAUGUUCAAGAAGAUGUCCAAUGACUCCAAUGUCACUCGAAAAUCCUCGACGAGAUCCGAGGUCACCUCGACAAGAUCCGAGGUGAAAGAAGUUGGCUCGACGUCAAUAAAGAUCCGAUCACAAUGAGUUCCACGGCCAC